RNAcentral lists this ribosomal RNA (253 nucleotides) under uncultured bacterium. RNAcentral describes it as "partial 16S ribosomal RNA". It matches the Rfam family "Bacterial small subunit ribosomal RNA", at positions 524 to 776 of the family's 1533-position model. The record is from RNAcentral.
GACGAACCGUGCGAACGUUGUUCGGAAUCACUGGGCUUAAAGGGCGCGUAGGCGGCUGCAGAAGUCUCGGGUGAAAUCUUUCGGCUUAACCGGAAACGUGCCUGGGAUACUGUGCAGCUAGAGGGAGAUAGGGGCGGACGGAACUUCCGGUGGAGCGGUGAAAUGCGUUGAUAUCGGAAGGAACGCCGGUGGCGAAAGCGGUCCGCUGGAUCUCUACUGACGCUGAGGCGCGAAAGCCAGGGGAGCAAACGGG